CAGGGGCAGACUGUGACACAAUUUUAGACCGGGAAAUCUCACACUCAUUCAGGCCAUCCUAUACACUCACAGCAAAUUCCGAAACUACAACCAACCCUAUAUUUAUGGCCAUCACAUAAAAAGGUCUAAAUCCUUAGGCUGGGACUGUGCAAAAUAAUUAAAGGUUUCUCUUGAGUUGCACCUUCACUUCCCUUUUCAUUUUCUUCAUUUUACCCAAUGUAUCUGUCUCUUCCUUGUAUAUGUGUACGUUUAUUUCUUGUACCUGUCACUUCUUUACCAGCAGCAGGACUGUGUCCACCUUGUUGCAAAACAGAAUGUUGUUAUUUUAUCUUAAAAUGAUUUAAAUACCCAAGAUUUAACAAACUUAUAUUUCAUACAAAUAUAUUACAGUAAAACAAAUUUUCUAAAGUGCCUACAUGGCAAAAUUAGUAACAUAUCUUUAUUGAUAAAAUCCUAAUACUGGACACACUAUUGCACUAUUAGGCUGUGACUCACAUUUUUGUGUAGCUAAGCUAUCUGCUCUAGCUCCCUUCCUACCUGAACUAUAAGUCCAUCUGCUACAUUUAUUAAUGUAACUUUACAACAGAUAAUAAUGAUGUCACUAAGCAUAAUGUUUAAAGAAACAGUAUCACAACAUAAUACAAUAGGGUUCCAUUUUGUAGCCUUAGUAGAAUUUUUACAGCAAUUAUUAAUCUAGGUUAAUUUAUUGAUAUAUGGCUACUAUUGAUCAUUGUGUUCUUUUCUAUUAACUGAUAUGAAUUUAUAUAUCUUCAAAUGUUAAUAUGUACUAGUAUAUGUAGAAAUUAACAUUACCUCAAUAAAUGCUGUAAAGGUAUUAUUCAUUGUUAUAUGUUACAUGUUACUGCAGAAACUAUAAUGUACAGAAAGUUUCUCUGAAGUGUUUCCAAAGAGAUAAUUUUGAAGUUGUACUUGUUGAGUGUCUCUAAUAUUAAUAUUUUUUUCCUCAAAUAAGCCAUUUGUGGAAGAUAGCAAUCUUGUAAAAUAGGAAUCUUGUGAAUUUAAUAAAUAAAUAUUUUGCACAUUACAAAAAUAUUGUCCUUUGAGGCUAUAUAUAUAUGUUUUAUUAUUUAAAUGUGUAUUUACUAUUAUUAUCUAGUAACCAAAAAUGAGGCAAUCAGUCCAGUGAGCAACCUCAGGAGAUAGAGAGAGAGAUCCUAUAAAACAUUAUUACCAAAUGCUGUUUAAAAGAAACCUAUUUGAAAAUGCAUUUACUUCCAUGCACAAUGUGAAGAAAAAGUCUCAUUAUUUCAUGAUUCAGGUCUAUUAAGACUAAAAUCUUAUGGAACUAUA
Cyprinus carpio carpio is the source of this 1311-nucleotide long non-coding RNA. NCBI's taxonomy places the organism in Eukaryota, Metazoa, Chordata, Actinopteri, Cypriniformes, Cyprinidae. The record is from Ensembl.